RNAcentral lists this ribosomal RNA (704 nucleotides) under Pseudomonadota bacterium. RNAcentral's name for it is "bacterial SSU rRNA". It matches the Rfam family "Bacterial small subunit ribosomal RNA", at positions 32 to 735 of the family's 1533-position model. The record is from RNAcentral. Lineage: Bacteria; Pseudomonadati; Pseudomonadota.
AACGCUGGCGGAAUGCUUUACACAUGCAAGUCGAACGGUAGAGGGGGCAACCCCUUGAGAGUGGCGAACGGGUGAGUAAUAUAUCGGAACGUGCCCAGUCGUGGGGGAUAACGUAGCGAAAGUUACGCUAAUACCGCAUACGAUCUAAGGAUGAAAGCGGGGGAUCGCAAGACCUCGCGCGACUGGAGCGGCCGAUAUCAGAUUAGGUAGUUGGUAGGGUAAAGGCCUACCAAGCCAACGAUCUGUAGCUGGUCUGAGAGGACGACCAGCCACACUGGAACUGAGACACGGUCCAGACUCCUACGGGAGGCAGCAGUGGGGAAUUUUGGACAAUGGGCGAAAGCCUGAUCCAGCCAUUCCGCGUGCAGGAUGAAGGCCCUCGGGUUGUAAACUGCUUUUGUACAGAACGAAAAGGUUUCUAUUAAUACUAGGAGCUCAUGACGGUACUGUAAGAAUAAGCACCGGCUAACUACGUGCCAGCAGCCGCGGUAAUACGUAGGGUGCAAGCGUUAAUCGGAAUUACUGGGCGUAAAGCGUGCGCAGGCGGUUAUAUAAGUCAGAUGUGAAAUCCCCGGGCUCAACCUGGGAACUGCAUUUGAGACUGUAUAGCUAGAGUACGGUAGAGGGGGAUGGAAUUCCGCGUGUAGCAGUGAAAUGCGUAGAUAUGCGGAGGAACACCGAUGGCGAAGGCAAUCCCCUGGACC